UAUACGACCGUACCGCAAACCGACACUGGUGCGCGAGAUGAGUAUUCUAAGGCGCUUGAGAGAACUCAGGAGAAGGAACUCGGCAAAUUGACACCGUAACUUCGGAAGAAGGUGUGCCCUAUUAGUGUGUAGUGAACAACGAAGCAUGAAUGGGUUGCAAAAAAUCGGUGGCUGCGACUGUUUAUUAAAAACACAGCACUCUGCAAACACGAAAGUGGACGUAUAGGGUGUGACGCCUGCCCGGUGCUGGAAGAUUAAAUGAUGGGGUGCAAGCUCUUGAUUGAAGUCCCAGUAAACGGCGGCCGUAACAAUAACGGUCCUAAGGUAGCGAAAUUCCUUGUCGGGUAAGUUCCGACCUGCACGAAUGGCGUAACGAUGGCCACACUGUCUCCUCCUGAGACUCAGCGAAGUUGAAAUGUUUGUGAUGAUGCAAUCUCCCCGCGGAAAGACGGAAAGACCCCAUGAACCUUUACUGUAGCUUUGUAUUGGACUUUGAACAGAUCUGUGUAGGAUAGGUGGGAGGCUUUGAAGCAGGGUCGCUAGAUCUUGUGGAGCCAACGUUGAAAUACCACCCUGGUGUGUUUGAGGUUCUAACCUAGGUCCAUUAUCUGGAUCGGGGACAGUGCAUGGUAGGCAGUUUGACUGGGGCGGUCUCCUCCCAAAGCGUAACGGAGGAGUUCGAAGGUACGCUAGUUACGGUCGGACAUCGUGACGAUAGUGCAAUGGCAUAAGCGUGCUUAACUGCGAGACUGACAAGUCGAGCAGAUGCGAAAGCAGGACAUAGUGAUCCGGUGGUUCUGUAUGGAAGGGCCAUCGCUCAACGGAUAAAAGGUACUCUGGGGAUAACAGGCUGAUACCGCCCAAGAGUUCAUAUCGACGGCGGUGUUUGGCACCUCGAUGUCGGCUCAUCUCAUCCUGGGGCUGUAGCCGGUCCCAAGGGUAUGGCUGUUCGCCAUUUAAAGAGGUACGUGAGCUGGGUUUAAAACGUCGUGAGACAGUUUGGUCCCUAUCUUCCGUGGGCGCUGCAGAUUUGAGGAAGCCUGCUCCUAGUACGAGAGGACCGGAGUGGACACACCUCUGGUGUAUCGGUUGUCACGCCAGUGGCAUUGCCGAGUAGCUAAGUGUGGAAGAGAUAACCGCUGAAAGCAUCUAAGCGGGAAACUCGUUUCAAGAUGAGAUCUGCCGGGGCCUUGAGCCCCCUAAAGAGUCGUUCAAGACCAGGACGUUGAUAGGUCAGGUGUGGAAGCG
RNAcentral lists this ribosomal RNA (1248 nucleotides) under metagenome. Its description in RNAcentral is "bacterial LSU rRNA". It matches the Rfam family "Bacterial large subunit ribosomal RNA", at positions 1635 to 2875 of the family's 2925-position model. The record is from RNAcentral.